AGAUAACUGGACCUUCGACUUUGCUCAUAUUAGGAUGAGGUUCUCCUCCUAUUUUUAACAUGACUGUGGGGGCACAUAAGGGCCAUUGUAAGGGCCUCUCCCCCCAUCCGAUCUUUAAAUAAUCGGACCUUCAACUUUGCUCAUGUUAGGACAAGGUUCUCCUCCUGUUCCUAACAUGGCUGUGGGAGUACAUAAGGACCAUUGUAAGAGCCUCUCCCCCCAUCCGAUCUUUAAAUAAUCGGGCCUUCGACUUUGCUCAUGUUAGGACGAAGUUCUCCUCCUGUUCCUAACAUGACUGUGGAGGCACA
RNAcentral lists this long non-coding RNA (308 nucleotides) under Elaeis guineensis (African oil palm). Its description in RNAcentral is "long non-coding RNA (EGUI_LNC072916)". Lineage: Eukaryota; Viridiplantae; Streptophyta; Magnoliopsida; Arecales; Arecaceae. The record is from RNAcentral.